GGGGAUGUAGUUAAAUGGUAAAGCACUUGUCUAGUGUGCAGGAGGACCUGAGUUCCACUCUCAGCACCUUGA
RNAcentral lists this transfer RNA (72 nucleotides) under Heterocephalus glaber (naked mole-rat). It matches the Rfam family "tRNA". From Rfam's summary of the family: Transfer RNA (tRNA) molecules are approximately 80 nucleotides in length. Their secondary structure includes four short double-helical elements and three loops (D, anti-codon, and T loops). The record is from Rfam by way of RNAcentral. Lineage: Eukaryota; Metazoa; Chordata; Mammalia; Rodentia; Bathyergidae.